This 65-nucleotide transfer RNA is filed under the name Mythimna turca. Its description in RNAcentral is "tRNA-Gly". Lineage: Eukaryota; Metazoa; Arthropoda; Insecta; Lepidoptera; Noctuidae. The record is from RNAcentral. RNAcentral also lists the same sequence under 1 other name.
AUUUAUAUAAUAUAUUUAGUAUAUUUGACUUCCAAUCAAAAAGUUUAAUAAUUUUAAUAUAGAUA